GACGAACGCUGGCGGCGUGCCUAAUACAUGCAAGUCGAGCGGACGGAUGGGAGCUUGCUCCCAGACCGUCAGCGGCGGACGGGUGAGUAACACGUGGGCAACCUGCCUGUAAGACUGGGAUAACUCCGGGAAACCGGGGCCAAUACCGGAUAACUCUUUCCCUCACCUGAGGGAAAGCUGAAAGAUGGCAUCUCGCUACCACUUACAGAUGGGCCCGCGGCGCAUUAGCUAGUUGGUAAGGUAACGGCUCACCAAGGCGACGAUGCGUAGCCGACCUGAGAGGGUGAUCGGCCACACUGGGACUGAGACACGGCCCAGACUCCUACGGGAGGCAGCAGUAGGGAAUCUUCCGCAAUGGACGAAAGUCUGACGGAGCAACGCCGCGUGAGUGAUGAAGGUUUUCGGAUCGUAAAACUCUGUUGUCAGGGAAGAACAAGUACCGGAGUAACUGCCGGUACCUUGACGGUACCUGACCAGAAAGCCACGGCUAACUACGUG
This 498-nucleotide ribosomal RNA is filed under the name uncultured bacterium. RNAcentral's name for it is "partial 16S ribosomal RNA". It matches the Rfam family "Bacterial small subunit ribosomal RNA", at positions 28 to 507 of the family's 1533-position model. The record is from RNAcentral.